CCCCAGUUAAUCAGUAUCUGAAAAUUACUAGAUAGAAAAGUCUAACACAAAUUUAGAGGUUAUCUAUCAGGUUGUUUAAAAUAUCAUUUUUAGUGCAGGUAUACUGAAGAAUAAAUGGUAUAAUAGAAGGAAAAUAUACUUCAUUUUUAUUUAAAUACAACAGAAAUGACUCUGUUUUAUGUAAAAUUAAUUUCUCUUUAUUAGAUGGGAAAAGUCAUGGUAUUAAUAGAGGGCUAUAACUUAUCAGGAGAGUCCACAUAUAAAGAACAACUGGAAAAGUAAACAAGAUUGAAUUAUAUACCCAUGUAUAUUUGUUUUUUUAUUAUAAUGACCUGUUAAUUAUCUUUUUUUUCUACUAUGUAAUAACAUCUCUAUGAAUAAUAGUGUUUAGCCUCUUAAAGAAAAAUGUAAUAGAAUAUGUAAUUUGAUAUUUGUGAUAUAUUUAAUACUUAUAUAUGAUGAGGAAAGAAGCUCUGUAUUGUUUUUAAAAGGUGUGACAUCAUUACUGUUGACAUCACAAUUGCUAUCUUGCUGAAGAUUGGCUCACUCAUUGGUUCUUCCAAAGAAAACUACACGAGUAGGUAUUUUAUUACUUUCGUUUAUUCAACGGGCAGCGUUGCGACAUCCCAGAGAGGUCCGUACCGUACGACAGCCCGAGCACGACUGACUCCAGUGUCGACCGUGCGGAUGUAUUUAUAGGACCCGGCGCACGUGCUACUCCACGUAUUUUGAAAUGCGGCCGUAUUUAUGAGGCUCGGUGCACGUGCACGUGUUUUCAAUUCGUGUUCUAGUAUUUGCGCCGAUAUAUAUUAUAUGAUUCACAGAGAACUAUAAUGAUACUAGCUGACACAACAGUCUUUGUUCUGUUGUUAAAAAAAUCUUUUUAUUAAUUUGUCAAAAUCUAUUGUGAAAAUCUAAACCAAAAAACAAACAUAUUUCUGAACGAUAUAAUAUAAUAUCAUAAUAUGUUACCUAUUAAUUUGUGUGAAUUAUUAUCUUAUCUAGUUUAGUUUUAAGUUUAUGCACUUAUUAAAAGAACUCAAUCCA
Long non-coding RNA from Leptidea sinapis, 1047 nucleotides. RefSeq lists it as uncharacterized. The record is from RefSeq and is a predicted model, not a curated record. NCBI's taxonomy places the organism in Eukaryota, Metazoa, Arthropoda, Insecta, Lepidoptera, Pieridae. The transcript has 2 exons.